UACGGGGGGGGCAAGCGUUGUUCGGAAUUACUGGGCGUAAAGAGCGCGCAGGCGGUCGUUCAAGUCGCGUGUGAAAGCCCCCGGCUCAACUGGGGAGGGUCACGCGAUACUGAUCGACUCGAAGGCAGGAGAGGGUAGUGGAAUUCCCGGUGUAGUGGUGAAAUGCGUAGAUAUCGGGAGGAACACCAGUGGCGAAGGCGACUACCUGGCCUGUUUCUUGACGCUGAGGCGCGAAAGCUAGGGGAGCAAACGGG
RNAcentral lists this ribosomal RNA (254 nucleotides) under uncultured bacterium. RNAcentral describes it as "partial 16S ribosomal RNA". It matches the Rfam family "Bacterial small subunit ribosomal RNA", at positions 524 to 776 of the family's 1533-position model. The record is from RNAcentral.